RNAcentral lists this long non-coding RNA (3840 nucleotides) under Setaria italica (foxtail millet). RNAcentral describes it as "long non-coding RNA (SITA_LNC007179)". Lineage: Eukaryota; Viridiplantae; Streptophyta; Magnoliopsida; Poales; Poaceae. The record is from RNAcentral.
GUCGAAGAUGCUGGCCCGCGCACCGCUGAAGAACCCCCGCCAGUACUCCAGCGACGGCGGCGGCGGCGGCGGCGCCAUCCGAGCCAAGAUCGGCCGCCGCCGAUCAAACCAAAGCUCUCGCCUUUCUUGAAGAUUGCAGUCAAUCAAGGUUGGUUCUAUUUUUAGUCUUGGAAUUUAAUGCUAGGCGUUUUUCUUGAUCUCGCGGUUAUCGGUCCAAUCCAAUGGAACCGCGAAAAAUUAAUGUCUCAACCGGCGAUGGAUCCGUCGAGGAGAGAGGAGGGAGGACAGAGAGAGAGAGAAGGAAGCUCGCGCGGCUUCUUUUCUUGGGCAGCGCGAUCUGUCUCUCUUGGUAACGGCGCCGCUGUAUCUGUCUGCCUGUCUACGCCAAGCUGGGGGAGGUAGAGGCGGAGGCGGAGGUGGAGGUGGAGGAGGGCGACCAUGGAGAGCGACAGGGACGGGGCGGGUUGGGGGUGGGCCGGCUGGUGCUGCGAGGAGGACCGCGAUGGCGAUGGCGAUGGCGAGUGGGAAUGGGAAUGGAAUGGAUGCCGCAAUCCAAUCCAAUCCGGAUUCCUGUGGAUUUUCUUCACGAUGCGAUUCGAUGCGAACGAGAAAAGGGAGCAAAUCCCUGAGGGGAUGGGGGGGCGUCAUCGAUCGAUUCGUUGCGCUCGUUGGAGACUUUGAGGUGACUGGGCCCUCUACGUAGUCAGGUCCAGCCAAUUUAGCCUAUAGGCUACAUACUAAGCCCAGCGAUGCUGAAAAAUAAUAGAACACAAGCCCACAUAAUACUCGGGCCGACGGAAGCCCACAUGAUACUCGUUUGCUCCAAAAUGACCAACCCAGUUCGACGCGAGGGACUGGCCCAUGAAGUGUAGGUAGGCUUUUCUUUGUUAUUUUUUUUUAAAAAAAUUGAUGACAUGGACUUCUUUAUUCAUCGUGUAAGACCUAAUAUAACCUAACUAAAAAGUGUAUUGGAUUUUACUCCGUAUCACGUUAAUCUAAGUGUUUCUACAAUUUUAUCAAAGGCACUACAAAAAAUUAUUCAACUCGUAUCUUAUUUAUCAAAUGGAAUGUGGACGUCAAAAUGUAUCCAAAACAUGCACCUGCUUUGAAAGAUCCUUGUAUCUAAAGUUUGAACAAAAAAAAAAAACCUUUUAUCAAUCUCCCAUACCUGGCAGCACAGCAAACAUGAGAACUGCCCUGUUUUUUACCAUUCCACUGAGCUGAAGAUGCAACUAUGUGCUAGGACGUUCAUACGGUCGAGAAUGUCACUUUUGCUGCUUAGAUUAUGGCUGUGCAGAUCUUUUCGGGCCUGUGGACCAUUUGGAGUUGUUCAGCCGUGCCAUGAGGUUGCAAUAAUAUCUGCAUUCCAAAAUACAAUUCUUCUAUUGCGCUUGAUUGUGUGUAGCAAACCGAUCCUAGCUGCAGUAGUAUCCAUUGCAAUUAGUUUCUGCAAAUGCCCAGCUAGCUGUGCUCUAUAAAAGCCUUGAUGAUCGACGGAUCUCCCGAGCCAAGCCCAACAUCCAACUGCGUGAUGUGACGAUCCGUACGUGCGUUUGAAUGCCGCGAGAUCAACUAGCUGUGCUGAUCGCCGAGGAUUUCAAGGCUGCCGGCCAAAGGGGAUCCCGUUCAGGCAGACAUACACAGGGGCGCUUGACAGCGAUGCAUGCAUGAGCAUUAGCUGAAGGUUAGCGACGCGCGUGGUGGCACAUUAGAGAGUGCAGCUGGAGAGCGGUGACCGUGAUGAAAGAUCAUGUGCAUGGAGAGCUGAAACGAGGAUGGAAGCAGAGGGUGUGGUUGGGCUUGGAAGGCUACGUAGAUUCAACUAAAUUAAUUAAUUUCAGUGGUUCACUAUCGGCUGCAGUACACACAAUGCUUUCCAUAAUCAAAUGGGCGCAGAUCUUUUGCACGUUCUUGAAAUAAGAAAUUGUGAUCAUAUACUACUUGCCUUGUACUUUAAAUCUUGCUUAAUCAUUUGUCCUAUUUUCAUAUGUAAGAACCAACUGUGGUCACCCUUGGAUGAUGAGUGAUUAACAACAUUGUGUGGAAUGAUGUUGCUUUUGGCUUGUGAUGUGCAGGUCUAGAAUGCGACAUGGCGGUCAACGACGUGCGGUGAAGGUCAAGCGAAAGGUUUAUGCUGAUGGACCAAGGACGGUGAAGGGUGAAAACGAGUAGGCUUGGAACGAGAGACCCGAGGAGUCUGGGUGGAGUCAUAGGCGAUCCAUAUGGUGCAAGGAAGAGCAAGAGAACGUGACAGGAUGGAGACGGCGCCGGUCAAGUCAAGCGGGACGGAGGCGUCAAAGACUUGGCGAAGGCCAGACAUGCGUCGACAUCGAGGAGGUCGCGUGGCGGACAAGCGGAGAUAGACGGUUUGAGUGGUUUGGGCCUCAAAAUCAUCGUGCAGGCAGGUUUCCCGGUUUGGGCCUCAAAACCGGGGGCGAGCCCGGUGCAGCCGGAGCUUCGAGGAGGGCACGUGGCGUCAUCGUGAAGCUUGUGUCGAGGCAAAGUGAAGUCGUGAAGGCGGCGUGUCCGUCAAAUACGUCUAAAAAAAUAUGAACAGAUUUGCUCUUAAGAGGAUAUGUAGAUUUGCUCUUAAGAGGUUAUGUAUCGUAGUUGUAGUUGUAGGGAUAUUUUACUCUUUAGCCAUGGACGAUGGCUGGUUGAGGGGGCUCUCUUAGUUUUCAUUUUUCCUUUUUCACCAGGCUAACAGGGCUUUACGGUAGAAAGAGAGAGAGAGGAGAAGUGACUGCUUUUCUUUCGAUCUUCACAAGAGUGGGAGGAUGAGGUGGCUUCCUAGCCUUGUAUCAAAAUCUUGACUUAUUUGCUUAAUCCAUGACCUGGUUGAUUCGUCAAGUCUUACCUCUCCCAUCUUGUUCCUGGAUAUUUCUCUUUUACUCUAUGUUUGGGUGAUUUUCUGAGGAUUUUUCGUUCGUAGGAUUUGAGUGCUUUCUGAGACAGUUCUUUUGGGGGAUUCUAUACUAGUUCAUUCGUGAGUUUUCCUAUGGCAUUUCCCUAGCAUUUCCCCUGCUUAAAUCUCACGAUUUGUUUUUUCCCUAAAAUUGUUCUUCACCUAGGGUUUCUCUGUUAUCUGAAAUUCGAGUUAGAGGCUAAAUCUUUUUGUUGAUUCUGGUUGGAAUGGACUGCCUGUGACCUUGUGAGGCUACAAAUUUGUGUGAAUCAAAUUUGUUCUUGUGUCAGUCUGUUCUUUUGAGUUGGGUUGUUUGCAUGUGUGGUUUCUCUUCUCUGCUCCCUGUCGAGAGCAACACUGAUAGGUCUUCAGUUUGUGUUUGCUUGCAGCUUGCCCUGUUUACAGUUUUGAUUGUGGUCCUGAGCUUUUAUUCAGAUGGCCUGGGGUUGAGUUGUUCUGCUGCAGCUCGAAGGAAUUACCUUUCAGUUUCUGUGGGAAGCAAGCUGCCGAGCAGCUCUGGAAAUUUGCAAGCUUCCUAUGCAGGUUCAGCUUAGUGCUAAAAUAACAGCAGGAGGGUUGUGACUGGAAGUUUCACAUUAGUUUGCCAUUUCGACAGUUCCUUCAUGCUUGCAGUUUGCUAUUCAAGUACCAGCUAAAUUCGUUUGAUAUGUAGUGUCACUUUCAUGCAAUGGUGAAUCAACUGUUCACAUAAUCAUGGUUUAAUCUUUGAAGUAUUAGUUUAUUUCCUUGGCAAGGUUUUGGUGCUCGACAUGUACAAUUGCAAGGAGUUAGUUUUGAGUACUUUUGGACUCGCUGUCAGCUUGCAUCUAUGCCAGUAAUUCUUUUUGCUGUUACUUGAUCUCCUGGACUGUGCUACUGUGUUGUUAAUUUCUUAUAGUCAUAGUAGUACAGUUGCUUAGUGCAAGCUUGGUUCA